Molecule: ribosomal RNA, 396 nt
Filed under: uncultured bacterium
Lineage: Bacteria
Description: partial 16S ribosomal RNA
Rfam family: Bacterial small subunit ribosomal RNA
Source: RNAcentral
AUACGUAGGGGGCAAGCGUUAUCCGGAUUUACUGGGUGUAAAGGGAGUGUAGGUGGUCUGGCAAGUCAGAUGUGAAAGCCCGCGGCUCAACUGCGGGACUGCAUUUGAAACUGUCAGACUGGAGUGCAGGAGAGGAAAAUGGAAUUCCUAGUGUAGCGGUGAAAUGCGUAGAUAUUAGGAAGAACACCAGUGGCGAAGGCGGCUUUCUGGACUGUAACUGACACUGAGGCUCGAAAGCGUGGGGAGCAAACAGGAUUAGAUCCCCUGGUAGUCCACGCCGUAAACGAUGAAUACUAGGUGUCGGGUGGCAAAGCCAUUCGGUGCCGCAGCUAACGCAAUAAGUAUUCCACCUGGGGAGUACGUUCGCAAGAAUGAAACUCAAAUGAAUUGACGGGG